This 492-nucleotide ribosomal RNA is filed under the name uncultured bacterium. RNAcentral's name for it is "partial 16S ribosomal RNA". It matches the Rfam family "Bacterial small subunit ribosomal RNA", at positions 29 to 507 of the family's 1533-position model. The record is from RNAcentral.
AGUGAACGCUGGCGGUAGGCCUAACACAUGCCAGUCGAACGGCAGCACAGUAAGAGCUUGCUCUUACGGGUGGCGAGUGGCGGACGGGUGAGGAAUACAUCGGAAUCUACUUUUUCGUGGGGGAUAGCGUAGGGAAACUUACGCUAAUACCGCAUACGACCUACGGGUGGAAGCAGGGGAUCUUCGGACCUUGCGCGAUUGAAUGAGCCGAUGUCGGAUUAGCUAGUUGGCGGGGUAAAGGCCCACCAAGGCGACGAUCCGUAGCUGGUCUGAGAGGAUGAUCAGCCACACUGGAACUGAGACACGGUCCAGACUCCUACGGGAGGCAGCAGUGGGGAAUAUUGGACAAUGGGCGCAAGCCUGAUCCAGCCAUACCGCGUGGGUGAAGAAGGCCUUCGGGUUGUAAAGCCCUUUUGUUGGGAAAGAAAAGCAGCAGGUUAAUACCCCGCUGUUCUGACGGUACCCAAAGAAUAAGCACCGGCUAACUUCGUG